Molecule: ribosomal RNA, 451 nt
Filed under: uncultured bacterium
Lineage: Bacteria
Description: bacterial SSU rRNA
Rfam family: Bacterial small subunit ribosomal RNA
Source: RNAcentral
AACGAACGCUGGCGGCAGGCUUAACACAUGCAAGUCGAGCGAAGCCUUCGGGCUUAGCGGCGGACGGGUGAGUAACGCGUGGGAACGUGCCCAUUCCUGCGGAAUAGGCCCUGGAAACGGGGUUUAAUACCGCAUACGCCCUUCGGGGGAAAGAAUUUCGGGGAUGGAUCGGCCCGCGUUGGAUUAGGUAGUUGGUGGGGUAAAAGCCUACCAAGCCGACGAUCCAUAGCUGGUUUUAGAGGAUGAUCAGCCACACUGGGACUGAGACACGGCCCAGACUCCUACGGGAGGCAGCAGUGGGGAAUCUUAGACAAUGGGGGCAACCCUGAUCUAGCCAUGCCGCGUGAGUGAUGAAGGUCUUAGGAUCGUAAAGCUCUUUCGCCGGGGAAGAUAAUGACGGUACCCGGUAAAGAAACCCCGGCUAACUCCGUGCCAGCCGCCGCCGUAAAAC